GACGAACGCUGGCGGCGUGCCUAAUACAUGCAAGUCGAACGCUUCUUUCCUCCCGAGUGCUUGCACUCAAUUGGAAAGAGGAGUGGCGGACGGGUGAGUAACACGUGGGUAACCUACCCAUCAGAGGGGGAUAACACUUGGAAACAGGUGCUAAUACCGCAUAACAGUUUAUGCCGCAUGGCAUAAGAGUGAAGGGCGCUUUCGGGUGUCGCUGAUGGAUGGACCCGCGAUGCAUUAGCUAGUUGGUGAGGUAACGGCUCACCAAGGCCACGAUGCAUAGCCGACCUGAGAGGGUGAUCGGCCACACUGGGACUGAGACACGGCCCAGACUCCUACGGGAGGCAGCAGUAGGGAAUCUUCGGCAAUGGACGAAAGUCUGACCGAGCAACGCCGCGUGAGUGAAGAAGGUUUUCGGAUCGUAAAACUCUGUUGUUAGAGAAGAACAAGGACGUUAGUAACUGAACGUCCCCUGACGGUAUCUAACCAGAAAGCCACGGCUAACUACGUG
RNAcentral lists this ribosomal RNA (508 nucleotides) under uncultured bacterium. RNAcentral describes it as "partial 16S ribosomal RNA". It matches the Rfam family "Bacterial small subunit ribosomal RNA", at positions 28 to 507 of the family's 1533-position model. The record is from RNAcentral.